RNAcentral lists this transfer RNA (72 nucleotides) under Chloroflexota bacterium. RNAcentral's name for it is "Chloroflexi bacterium tRNA-Ala". It matches the Rfam family "tRNA". Rfam says of the family: Transfer RNA (tRNA) molecules are approximately 80 nucleotides in length. Their secondary structure includes four short double-helical elements and three loops (D, anti-codon, and T loops). Lineage: Bacteria; Bacillati; Chloroflexota. The record is from RNAcentral.
GGGGGUGUAGCUCAGCGGGAGAGCACCUGCUUUGCAAGCAGGGGGUCAGGGGUUCAAUCCCCCUCACCUCCA